This 502-nucleotide ribosomal RNA is filed under the name uncultured bacterium. Its description in RNAcentral is "partial 16S ribosomal RNA". It matches the Rfam family "Bacterial small subunit ribosomal RNA", at positions 30 to 523 of the family's 1533-position model. The record is from RNAcentral.
AUUGAACGCUGGCGGAAUGCUUUACACAUGCAAGUCGAACGGCAGCAUAGGUGCUUGCACCUGAUGGCGAGUGGCGAACGGGUGAGUAAUACAUCGGAACGUGCCCAGUCGUGGGGGAUAACGUAGCGAAAGUUACGCUAAUACCGCAUACGAGCUAAGGAUGAAAGCGGGGGACCGUAAGGCCUCGCGCGCGUGGAGCGGCCGAUGUCAGAUUAGGUAGUUUGUGAGGUAAAGGCUCACCAAGCCGACGAUCUGUAGCAGGUCUGAGAGGACGACCAGCCACACUGGGACUGAGACACGGCCCAGACUCCUACGGGAGGCAGCAGUGGGGAAUUUUGGACAAUGGACGCAAGUCUGAUCCAGCCAUUCCGCGUGCAGGACGAAGGCCUUCGGGUUGUAAACUGCUUUUGUACGGAACGAAAAAGCUCUUACUAAUACUAGGAGUCCAUGACGGUACCGUAAGAAUAAGCACCGGCUAACUACGUGCCAGCCGCCGCCGUAA